GAUGAACGCUAGCAGCAGGCCUAACACAUGCAAGUCGAGGGGUAGCAGGAUUAAGCUUGCUUAAUUGCUGACGACCGGCGCACGGGUGCGUAACGCGUAUGCAACCUACCUUAUACUGGGGUAUAGCCCGGAGAAAUUCGGAUUAAUCCCCCAUAGUACUAAUGAAUCGCAUGGUUUAUUAGUUAAAGCAUUGCGGUAUAAGAUGGGCAUACGUCCGAUUAGCUAGAUGCUGAGGUAACGGCGCACCAUGGCUACGAUAGGUAGGGGGCCUGAGAGGGUGGUCCCCCACAAUGGUACUGAGACACGGACCAGACUCCUACGGGAGGCAGCAGUGAGGAAUAUUGGUCAAUGGGCGCAAGCCUGAACCAGGCAUGCCGCGUGCAGGAAGAAUGCCCUAUGGGUUGUAAACUGCUUUUAUUUGGGAAUAAACCUCUUUACGUGUAGAGAGCUGAAGGUACCAAAUGAAUAAGCACCGGCUAACUCCGUGCCAGCCGCCGCGUAA
Molecule: ribosomal RNA, 502 nt
Filed under: uncultured bacterium
Lineage: Bacteria
Description: partial 16S ribosomal RNA
Rfam family: Bacterial small subunit ribosomal RNA
Source: RNAcentral